GAUGAACGCUGGCGGCAUGCCUAAUACAUGCAAGUCGAGCGGACGGACGAGAAGUUGUCGUCUCUGAUGUUAGCGGCGGACGGGUUAGUACCACGUGGAUAAGCUACCUAUAAGACUGGGAUAACUUCGGGAAACCGGAGCUGAUACCGGAUAAUAUUUUGAACCGCAUGGUUCAACAGUGAAAUACGUUCCUGCUGUCACUUAUAGACGGAUCCGCGCUGCAUUAGCUAGUUGGUAAGGUAACGGCUUACCAAGGCAACGAUGCAUAGCCGACCUGAGAGGGUGCACUGGCACGCCGGAACUGAGAACCGGUCAAGACUGCAACGGGAGGCAGCCGUGGCGCAUCCGCCACGAAGCACGAGAGAAUGAUGGGGCAACGACGCGUGAGUGAUGGAGGUCUUCGGAGCGUAAGAAGCAGUUUUUUGGGUAGAACACAUGUGUAAGUAACUAUGAACAUCUUGACGGUACCUAAGCAGACAGCCACGGCUAACUCCGUG
RNAcentral lists this ribosomal RNA (497 nucleotides) under uncultured bacterium. Its description in RNAcentral is "partial 16S ribosomal RNA". It matches the Rfam family "Bacterial small subunit ribosomal RNA", at positions 28 to 507 of the family's 1533-position model. The record is from RNAcentral.